GCCUGGCUGGCUUAUUAUUGAUAGCAGCUUGCUAAGGGGAGUGGGUGUAUGUGUCUUUGCUUUGUGUUCGUAGUUGGCUACCCAAAGCAGGAAAGGGGCAAACUGAGGAUUGUGCAAAUGCUAGUCUAGCGCGCUCCUGUCGUUUCUGAAUGAAGAGUUACCAAAGACUUGUUUUUCCUUCCCCGCCCCCCCCCCCUUAAAAUGCAUGAAAGCUGUGAGCCGCAAUGCACAAUUCUGGAAAUGCUGAUGAUGUGAUGUUGUCAUCUGUGUCUGAGAUGUCAACUUGCUAUUAAUAUUUAAGGGAGGAAAGACAAUGGAACAGGCAUCAGCCCCCCUUGUGACUCACUCCAUCAGCUAUGAGCCCAUAUUGUACAAUGGUAACUUAAUUUAACUAAUAUAGCAAAAACCCUGACAGACUAUUGAAGGCAAGAGUGGAACAGAGAAAUGCAAUGUUACUACACCAUUUUUAAUGCAGUCUACUAUUAGUCUACAUUUUAUCAACAGUAGGAUUAACAUCCAUUUUAAAAUAUAUUGGAGGUGUAUGUGUGUGUGUGUGUGUGUGUGUGUGUGUGUGUGUACACACACACACACACACACACACAUAUAUAGAUAUUCUCUUCCUUACAACACAAGUAUUAUUUCUAUCACAAGUAUUAUGUGAUGAAACACAGCAAGCCAAGCAAAUUACUGUUUCCUCCUCAUACUGUACCUUUUCAGCAGCUAUAUCUCAUUUGAGUUUUGAUAGUCUGCUAAAGUGCAUAUAUGAGGCUUAAAAAUUACAACUAACAAAAAACAUUUUCUGCAGCUUUGUGAACUUUUGAUGAAAAGGCACAAUGGAUCCUGCUUCACUGAUUAGCCAGACAUACAAUAUACAAUAAUCUGUAUAGAAUCUGCAAAUAAAAUAUUUCAACUGUGCCAGAAAGUGGUUUCACUUUAAAAAAUAAAUUUCACAAGCGAUAUUUUUGUUCUUCAGUACAUAACAUUGUAAAUGAGUAUUUCAGAGCACCAGUUCAACAAUCCACCAAGCUACUUCAAAUGCAACAAAUUUCUGCUGUAUUGUAUCACUCAUGGAAUUGCCACCUUUUUUCCUGCCAGGGCUACUGUGCAGAAACGAUGCAGGUUUCCCCCUGCUUGCAUAUGCUGUGGUGGGGGAAGUUUCAGCUGCUGAAUCUGUUCCUGUCAUGGGCGUUUUCCAGAUUACUCCUUGCAACAGGUUCACAACGUGUCCGCUAAGUGCCCUUCCAAAUUGCCUGUGUUGCGACAUCAUGUUCACUGCACUGUCAGCAGGGUGCUGUCCAUAUUUCCAAUGCAAUGUUUCAAAUUUUGUUGAUGCAUUCCAGCCCUAUAACAUGGUAAAUGUGUUGCAGGAAAGUAGCUGUAUUUCCCCGUUUUUAGGAGGCUUGUUCUGCAGUUCAUGCACUGCAGUGUAGUGUAGUGUGGACUGUAGCGUGAGCAGGCAGGGACGGAAGGAAGGAGGCAGAUCUUGGGGCAGAACGGAGCCACAGAAUGGGUGUGUGUGUUCAGCCUCUGGAAAGAGCCCAGCCUCCUGCCUGCCUCCCUCUUCCCAAAUCCACACAUUCAGAGAGGAGGCCAGAAAAGCAGCCUCUCUUCUUAGAGGUCUCGUAAAUGGGUUUGGCUGUGGAGGUGUGUGUGUGCGCACUGGGGCUUGUGGCAAAGAAGAACAAGACAGGGGGCCCGUUCGCACUCUUCAAAGGGAGGGCAAGCUCCCGGUGGGCUGCUUCCCACUCUCUCUCUCUCCCUCGCUGUCCAAGCCCAGCUUUUGCACAGCAUGACUGUGCCUCUUCUUCCACUGUUGCUUCCUUUUGCGUUCUGCUUUUGGGGCAAGCACAGAUCUGGCCACUUACUUAAGAGGAAGCCCAUUGAACUGAAUCAUUUACUUCUGUGCAAUUCCAUUUGUUUACUGCAAGGCAAUGGACUCCCCCCCCCCCUUGUUUACUGCAAGGAAGCCCAGUGUGAAUCAUUCACCAGCAAGCCUGCAAACUGUUCUCAAUGCCAUGUGGUGUGGAGAUCUCAUUCUGCAGUUCAAGGAUUUGUUAAUAUCUAAAGCCCCUCUGCAUAUAUGGUUUUUGUUUGUUUGUUUGUUUUUUGCUUGGGUUCUUGCACAAAUGCACAAUUCCUUUAUGUUUCCUUAAUAUAGAGGCAAUCAAAGGAUUGCAGUUUGUGCCAUGCUGCUCCCUCUAGUGGCGGUUUUGCACAAAAGCGCCCAGAGGAAAUAUAUUUUUUAAAAACUUCCUCAUGUCAUUCCCUCGCUGCGAUCCCAUUGGCCCGAAAUGGAAUGGGGGCAGUGAAUUGGAUUCCGGUAGAAUAUGGACAGCCCCUGCCCAGAAAACCCACUGCAGUGGUGGGCAAUUUGAACAGCCACAAUCUUGUCACAAUGCAUUGAGAAACACAUUGAAAAACGCUGUGCUUGCGGUUUCCAGCCGCUGCCUAAUACUGUUGCACUUUGCAACACUUUAAGCAGUGCAGAUCUUGCAGUCUGGAAAACGCCCUGCAGCUGUAAAGGCACUGGAGUCCUGCCAUGAAAAAAAAAUAGACUUAUUUUUAAUGGUGGGUAUCAGGAGUGAUACAUUACAAUAUUCACUACACUAUCAUUACCAGCGAGGUUCAAGAAUCAAGAGCAGACUGACCAGUUUAAAAGCUUCACAUGACGUUGUCAAAGAACACGAUUCACAGCAGAAUUUGUAAAUUAAUUAUUUCCCUAAUUUAGAAAUAGGGAAUGUGGUGAAUGUCUUCAUGUUUUCAAAUAGUGCCUACAUUAUGCUGUUUUUAUAAUAUUUUAUUUAUUUAUUUAACAUAUUUUUAUACCACCCAAAAGUUACAUCUCUGGGUGGUUUACAACAAUAGUUAUAAUAGUUUAAACCCUACUGGUGUAUUAAUGGGACAAGAGAGGUUGGAAGGGAUUUUAAGAAUUCUCUCAUAUUGCUGUCUUGAAUUUGUUGGACUUGGGCACAACUAUAAUUAGGCAGACAUGUUCAAAGAACACAAUCUGCCCCCCUUCACCUGUCACCCACCCUCCACCUCUCAACCACUAUAAAGUUACCCAGCACCCACCAACCACCCAACCGCCACCAUUCUCAUGUGGGGACUGAUGCUAGCCCCUCGGUACUACCCACUGCCUUGCCACCACCGCUCACCUCCUCCUCUUCCCACCAUUCCUUGUGCAGCUGAGAGGGCGUGAUGGGCUGUUUCCUCUCUCAAGCAAAAGAAGGAACAGACCACACACACUGCACAAACCAACCCAGGAAUAGAGGCAGCUAGAGGAAGAGUUGGUGGGAAGAGAUGGUGGCAGGAAGGGGAGGGCAGUAGUGACAAGGCACCAAGGGGAAUCGAGCUGUCCCCCAAAGGAGAAUGGUGGGGAUUACGGGGCUUGGUGUGGUGGUGGAGGGUUUUGCAGAGUGGGUGAGCAGCAGCGGGAUUGCACACACCCCCAAUUCCCUGUUAAAAAUUUGGUGACAUGUUUGGUACCACAAUAAAGGGGGAGGCCUUCUGAUAUUUUGAACACAGGUCUUCUUAUGCCAGUGCCUUGCGUCCAGACCAAAGACGCAUGUGAAAAUUGCUUUUUUGUCCUACAAACAUUCGCAGGGUACUACUGUUUCAUAGAUGGCUGAUCUGGAAUACUGUUAGUGGAAUAACCACUAAAAGUGAAUAGGAUUAGUGAGCAUUUUACAGGAACAAAAGUCUGCCAGCUUUUUUGAAGCUUUAAGGGGGUAUAGAAUUGGGCUAAGGUGACCUCCCACAAAUUUGAGAACAAUUUUUACUAGGCAAAAAAUGCAUGAUCACCACCACAUUUGAUUUUAAGAUAAUAUUCCUAGCCUGAGAAGGUGUGUUUGGUCCCUAAAUAGGGGCAUUUGAGGAUCAAUGCAUGUAAACUGUUUUGUUAAAAAUAAAAAAUAAAAAAAAUUGAACUGCCAUAGGUUAUUGUGCAUAUCUUUUAAUUAGUAUAGUCAAUAAGCAGAGUAUCCUGAAUAACUUGCAAAAAAUU
Hemicordylus capensis (graceful crag lizard) is the source of this 4003-nucleotide long non-coding RNA. RefSeq lists it as uncharacterized. NCBI's taxonomy places the organism in Eukaryota, Metazoa, Chordata, Lepidosauria, Squamata, Cordylidae. The transcript has 3 exons. The record is from RefSeq and is a predicted model, not a curated record.